AGAGUUUGAUCCUGGCUCAGGACGAACGCUGGCGGUGUGCUUCACACAUGCAAGUCGAGCGGAUGAAAACAGUAGCUUGCUACUGUUGGAUUUAGCGGCGGACGGGUGAGUAAUAUAUAGGAAUCUGCCCUAAUGCGGGGAACAACAGACCGAAAGGUCUGCUAAUGCCCCAUAGGUAUGCAGUCUUCGGAUUGUAUAUUAAAGGAGUAAUCCACUUUAGGAUGAGCCUGUAUCCGAUUAGCUUGUUGGCGGGGUAAUGGCCCACCAAGGCUACGAUCGGUAGUUGGUCUGAGAGGAUGAUCAGCCACAAUGGGACUGAGACACGGCCCAUACUCCUACGGGAGGCAGCAGUGGGGAAUUUUACACAAUGGGGGAAACCCUGAUGUAGCGACACCGCGUGAACGAAGAAGCCUUUUGGGGUGUAAAGUUCUGUCGGCUGGAACGAAAAAAAUGACGGUACCAGCGAAGGAAGCAUCGGCUAACUACGUGCCAGCAGCCGCGGUAAGACGUAGGAUGCGAGCGUUGUCCGGAUUUAUUGGGCGUAAAGAGUUCGUAGGCGGUUAUUUAAGUCUGAUGUUAAAUACUGUGGCCUAACCACAGAACUGCAUUGGAUACUGGAUGACUUGAGUGCGGUAGAGGCAAGUGGAAUUCCCAGUGUAGCGGUGAAAUGCGUAGA
RNAcentral lists this ribosomal RNA (676 nucleotides) under uncultured bacterium. RNAcentral's name for it is "bacterial SSU rRNA". It matches the Rfam family "Bacterial small subunit ribosomal RNA", at positions 8 to 694 of the family's 1533-position model. The record is from RNAcentral.